CCCUUAGAUGUUCUGGGCCGCACGCGUGCUACACUGAACGGUUCAAUGGGUAAGGUAGUGCGAAAGCAUGACCUAAUCUCGAAAUCCGUUCGUGCUGGGGAUAGAAGCUUGCAAUUAUCCUUCUUGAACGAGGAAUACCUUGUAAGCGUGAGUCAUCAUCUCACGCUGAAUACGUCCCUGCCCUUUGUACACACCGCCCGUCGCUCCUACCGAUUGAGUGUUCCGGUGAGGCUUUGGGAGAAUGGCCUCAACAUGAGUUUAUCGUGUUUUGCCGUUCGAACUUAGUCAAACCUUAUCACUUAGAGGAAGGAGAAGUCGUAACA
Molecule: ribosomal RNA, 323 nt
Filed under: uncultured eukaryote
Lineage: Eukaryota
Description: partial 18S ribosomal RNA
Rfam family: Eukaryotic small subunit ribosomal RNA
Source: RNAcentral